Molecule: long non-coding RNA, 348 nt
Filed under: Rosa chinensis
Lineage: Eukaryota; Viridiplantae; Streptophyta; Magnoliopsida; Rosales; Rosaceae
Description: sRNA RchiOBHm_Chr3g0449101
Source: RNAcentral
UCCUUGAAUACUCCUUGAGCCUUCCUCUCUUUGUUGGUGACUUAGCUACUCCAUAGUUGAAGCUUCUUAAGCUUAGUUGUUGGUGUUGCUAUCUAUUAUAUAUGAGAAUUAAUAGGUUUGGGUGUAUUGGGGAUUUGGAUAGAGAGAGUUGUUCAUAAACUCUAGUUGUAUAUUUCUCCAAAUUGAUCAUAGUGGAAUUUCCUGCCGGCUCCGAGAGUUGAUGUAGCUCAAUCACACUGAUUGAGUGAACCACUAUAAAUCUUUGUGUUCUUUAUGGUUUGUUUAUUAGUUGUUUUCUUUUGCUUUGUUUGUUAUUGUUGAAUUCAUAUCAAUACAUUGUGUUUGUUA